Non-coding RNA from Nylanderia fulva, 232 nucleotides. Lineage: Eukaryota; Metazoa; Arthropoda; Insecta; Hymenoptera; Formicidae. The record is from RefSeq and is a predicted model, not a curated record.
GAAUUUUUUUAACGUAUUUCCAAGAUUUUUGGAUAUGCCUGAACUGAUUGAUGUAGAAUUUAAUCUACUUUUUCCUGAAAUUGAUCCAGAUAGAUUUUGUAAGAUAUAUCCACAAUAUAUCGAUGCUAUUUUGUCAGUUUUUGAAACUAAAAAAAAUAAAAUUCCUCUUGAAUGGAAUCUUAUUACUAACUCAUUUAUUGCCUUGGCACUAUUAUUACCACCAACAGCAAAA